GGCGGGUGGCGGCGGCGGCGGCGGCCGGGACCCAGCGGGCCAGGUGGGGCCGGCGCGGAGCGGGUGCGGGAGAUGCGGGGCGGGACCGGGGCCACCUGAGCCGCCCGCCUCGUCCUCGCCUUCUGUGGGAAGGAUGUGCGCGCGGAUGGCCGGGCGCGCUGCAGCGGCCCCUCGGGGGCCCUACGGCCCCUGGCUCUGCCUCCUGGUGGCCCUCGCCCUGGACGUCGUGAGAGCCCUGGCCCAGGGCCCAGCCACUUCUCCGGGCCUCCUACCCGCCUUUUGCCACUCAGCAGGUGGUCCCCCCUCGAGUCACUGAGCCCCACCAACGGCCAGUCCCAUGGGACGUGCGGGCCGUUUCAGUGGAAGCGGCUGUGACUCCAGCAGAGCCCCACGCCCGGGUUCUCUUCCACCUCAAAGGCCAGGACUGGCCACCAGGGUCUGGCAGCCUGCCCUGUGCCCGGCUCCAUGCCACACACCCUGCAGGCACUGCUCACCAAGCUUGCCGCUUCCA
RNAcentral lists this small RNA (511 nucleotides) under Pongo abelii (Sumatran orangutan). RNAcentral describes it as "processed transcript". Lineage: Eukaryota; Metazoa; Chordata; Mammalia; Primates; Hominidae. The record is from RNAcentral.